GAUUGAACGCUGGCGGUAUGCUUAACACAUGCAAGUCGAACGGAAACGAUACUAGCUUGCUAGUAGGCGUCGAGUGGCGGACGGGUGAGUAACGCGUAGGAAUCUGCCUGAUAGUGGGGGAUAGCCCGAAGAAAUUCGGAUUAAUACCGCAUAAUCUAUUCGUAGUAAAGUGGGGGACUUUCGAGCCUCACGCUAUCAGAUGAGCCUGCGUAAGAUUAGCUUGUUGGUAGGGUAAAAGCCUACCAAGGCAACGAUCUUUAGCUGGUCUGAGAGGAUGAUCAGCCACAUCGGGACUGAGACACGGCCCGAACUCCUACGGGAGGCAGCAGUGGGGAAUAUUGGACAAUGGGGGCAACCCUGAUCCAGCAAUACCGCGUGUGUGAAGAAGGCCUGAGGGUUGUAAAGCACUUUCAAUUGUGAAGAAAAGUUAACGGUUAAUAACCGUUAGCCUUGACGUUAACUUUAGAAGAAGCACCGGCUAACUCCGUGCCAGCAGCCGCGGUAAUACGGAGGGUGCAAGCGUUAAUCGGAAUUACUGGGCGUAAAGCGUGCGUAGGCGGUUUAUUAAGUCAGAUGUGAAAGCCCCGGGCUUAACCUGGGAACUGCAUUUGAAACUGGUCAACUAGAGUAUGGUAGAGGAAAGUGGAAUUUCUGGUGUAGCGGUGAAAUGCGUAGAUAUCAGAAGGAACAUCAAUGGCGAAGGCAGCUUUCUGGACCAAUACUGACGCUGAGGUACGAAAGCGUGGGUAGCAAACAGGAUUAGAUACCCUGGUAGUCCACGCCGUAAACGAUGAUAACUAGCCGUUGGGGGGAUUUACCCUUUAGUGGCGAAGCUAACGCGUUAAGUUAUCCGCCUGGGGAGUACGGCCGCAAGGUUAAAACUCAAAGGAAUUGACGGGGACCCGCACAAGCGGUGGAGCAUGUGGUUUAAUUCGAUGCAACGCGAAGAACCUUACCUGGUCUUGACAUCCUGCGAACUUUCUAGAAAUAGAUUGGUGCCUUCGGGAACGCAGUGACAGGUGCUGCAUGGCUGUCGUCAGCUCGUGUCGUGAGAUGUUGGGUUAAGUCCCGUAACGAGCGCAACCCCUAUCCUUAUUUGCCAGCACGUCAUGGUGGGAACUAUAAGGAGACUGCCGGUGAUAAACCGGAGGAAGGCGGGGACGACGUCAAGUCAUCAUGGCCCUUACGACCAGGGCUACACACGUGCUACAAUGGGAAGGACAAAGAGCCGCGAAGCCGCGAGGUGUAGCUAAUCUCAGAAACCUUUUCGUAGUCCGGAUUGGAGUCUGCAACUCGACUCCAUGAAGUCGGAAUCGCUAGUAAUCGUAGAUCAGAAUGCUACGGUGAAUACGUUCCCGGGUCUUGUACACACCGC
Molecule: ribosomal RNA, 1375 nt
Filed under: uncultured bacterium
Lineage: Bacteria
Description: bacterial SSU rRNA
Rfam family: Bacterial small subunit ribosomal RNA
Source: RNAcentral